GCCAUGCAUAAAGGGAACACAAUAUCUGGCAAGAGAGACUUUCCAACCCACCGGAGAAAAGCAUAAAAACAACAAACUAAAGCCAAAAUGAAGAUAAAAAUAGGAUAUCCAUUUUUAAAAAGGAGGAGUGACUUUUUAUAGGAAGAGCCUGAGGAACUGGUGCGUUCUACCUCUCUUGAAGUCGUCUGAUCUAAUUUAAGCUCUGUCUUGGAAGAUAGAUGUUAGCUAAACACAACUUAUUGGCCUCGUUACAGGCCUGUGUGUGUGAAAUUCUGUGGCCUUCAAGUCCAGGUGAGGAGAUUCCCUCUCCAAAUACCAACCCAACAACUGCGGGUUCCUCCUGUGCCGGCUGGGUCUGAGCUGGAAAUGUUCUACAACACGUCAUAAAUACAACUGCAAAUCACGAGGAAUGCGUUGCCACAGAGAAAAACUUCACUAAAACGUCAGGCUCCCUCGCUGGCUGCGACGGUGGCCGCAGCGCCGUGCCACGGGCCUUUCAGUAACCAUCACCGUGAUGAAGAAGGAUGCAAGGAAAUCUGCAGGAUGUGCAUAGCUGACGACCUCAAGCAGCAGCACGAGCAGUGGGACAGAGGACCUUCUGUUAGGACAGGUACAUUAGAGAUCCUUGAUGAGGCGAGUGGUGGGAAAAGAGACAACAGAACCUGCCCAGUAAUGUCAGCAAGAGCAGGAGCUGCACAAAGGAGAGCUUGAUGCUGCAGAACUUCAGGUAUAAAAAACAAACAAAACCUACACACUCAGAGAGCUCAGACCUGGCUGCCUCUUACAGAAGUGAGCCACAGUGUACCCAUCAUCUGAGGAUGCCUCUGUGUGCUAUCCCCAUGCAAAACCCCUAUCUGCAUCCUAAAGGGGGAGCUGCAGGAACCACUACUGCUCCAGACGUGGACUGGUGAUAAAAAAUUUACCUUCACAAGAGCCAGAAAGAAGGAUAAUGGAUAAAAGAACAGAAAACCCAGCUUAGUAAUUUUUCAGCUACUCAAGAACAAACCAAAGUACCAGAUAAAACCCAACUGUCCUUUAAAGCUUGGCUCGUUUGCUGUAAGCCAUGCAGUUGCUCUCUAAAACAUCACGUGCAAAAAACAGUACAUGAAACAUCAUGUCUUUGUGGUGUGAGUAAGAAUCAGGGGCAAGGGUUUAUUGGGAUUUCUAGGUUAGGCAGAAAUGGAUGUGUGAUCUGCUCUCUAAACUGAAGUAAACAGGGAACGUCUUGAACAAUUACGACAGUGGUUUGGCUCUUCUGUUUUUGUAGUCCUUUAU
This 1275-nucleotide long non-coding RNA is filed under the name Anser brachyrhynchus (Pink-footed goose). Its description in RNAcentral is "lncRNA (ENSABRG00000010510.1)". The record is from RNAcentral. Lineage: Eukaryota; Metazoa; Chordata; Aves; Anseriformes; Anatidae.